Sorghum bicolor (sorghum) is the source of this 3216-nucleotide long non-coding RNA. RefSeq lists it as uncharacterized. NCBI's taxonomy places the organism in Eukaryota, Viridiplantae, Streptophyta, Magnoliopsida, Poales, Poaceae. The transcript is spliced from 6 exons. The record is from RefSeq and is a predicted model, not a curated record.
CCUCUUUUAUUCAUGAAUGGCUCAAAAUUUUGCAUUAGGAUCGGAAUUCAUUGUUUAUACUUUCUCCAAUCAUCAAUAUAAGUCCAUUAAGACAAUGGACCCUAUCUUGGAUAUUGUACUUCAACCUGGUCUCUAUCUCCUACAAUACAAUUAAAAAGAACAAAAGUAAGACUGUAAGAUGGUGCGACAAUGUUUUGGGGUCGCUUCCACGCUCCGUGCGAUCUCAGAAGAAAACCUCGCGCAAAUGUCUCGCCUUGUCUGGAAGGAAACCUCGCGGCCUCGCCAUCUCGGGACGAAAACCUCGCUACCGCUGUGAUCCUGCCUGAUGCUCCUCAGCACAAUCAGUAAAAAAAGGAAACCAACACAAUCUCCGAUAGAAUCCAAUCAAUUGGCCCAGCCCACCCGUCCUCCUCUCGCGAGGGAUUUUGGCUUCCAAAGUUCACAUCCUACGUCGCCCUUGCCCGAUCGGUCGCCCCCAUACCCGCCCUCGCUCCUCACAUGGUGGAUUUGGUCUUUCUCCGACGUCGCCCUCGCCUGCCCGCCUCGAUCGCCGUCGCGAGCCGCGGCCUGCGGCCACCCUUGCCCAUCGCACGUGUGAUGGCAAACAUCGGCGACGGGCGGAGGCGGAUCAACAAGCAGGCAUCGACAAGGCGGAGGAGCACGCCGGAGAGCUGCUCACGUUGAAGUACAUCGACCUGACAUACAUGGUCCACGCCGUGGCGGCCGGCAACCUAGACUGAACGCUGCUGGCACAUUCGGCGAUCCACGGCGCCGUGGCGGGGUACACGGGUUUCGUGUCGGGGCCGAUCAACUAACAAUGGCAGCAAAGGCUACAUCCCCGGUUCAGCACGUCUGCGCGUGUCCAAGUGCUCCCCUAAUUCCAAGCAGCUCUUGGUUGAGGAUGUUGUUCCUUCAGAGUUCAGAUAACUAGAGCAACUUCACAGUUUGUUAUAUGCCCUGAAUCUGCACAAUGCUCGGGCUUCAUUGAUGUAGGGAAUUCCUAUUUUUGUGUGCGCUCUUUAAGCAGAAGUAGAGCAACUUCAGUUGUUGUAGUUAGUUAUAUGCCCUGAAUCUGCACAGUGCCCGAGCUUUAUUGAUGUAGGGAAUUCCUGUUUUUGUUUGCGCUCUUUAAGCAGAAGAAUCAUAAGAUUGUCGUCAACUGUAUUUGUAUGAUAAUUCAUACAGGUACUUCUAUGCAAUUACAGCAACAUAAAUAUUUGUCCAAUGACAUUCUAAUUCCAGAACCAGUCAUCCAAUCAGCCAUACACUGCAACAAGUCUGAAUCCUCGUUGCUCUGUUCUAUAUGAUUUUCCCCAAGAUUCACCGUUGGACUGAUCAACUCAUGACGUAUAAUUCAGCAACUUGUUUUCUUUUGCUUGCUGCAGCGCAAGUAUUUUUGGUGUCUCAGAAUCAAUGCAGUGCACCUAUGAUGGCAAGGGCAAUUCCAUCCCCACCAUAUUGCCUAUCAUGCAGGGUCGAGGUGAUAUUUCACAUUAAUCCGGAGAAUGACCAAGAGGAGCAUGUGAGGGACCAGCUAAACAAAGGAGUUGUACCAUGGUGCCCGUGGCACCUUCAGGUCUAGCGUCUACCUCAUACGCUACUUUAUGAUUGGCUCAAGGCUUUAGAUAGUUUAUUUAUUAGCUUGAUGAUUUUUUUCGAAACAUUAGCUUGAUGAAUUGGGAGUGUUCACUACUUAGGAGUUGGUUCAGUAAUGAGUUUGGACCUUUUGGGGAUGUUUUUUAACAGACCUUUUGGCGAAUUUCAGCGGAUUGUCACUGCUUGGGUAUAUGUGGGUACCUUGCGAGUGCACGUAAUGUUAGUUCAGGUAUGGUUGAAUGAUAAUGUGUUGUUUCACUGCGCUUGUUUUUUUAUUUGAGAGAGAGAGCUUGCUUGCUCACUUGAGCACGGAUCAUUCUUGGUUUAGUAUCAUGUAUAGUCGUAUAGACCAUAUUGCCGUUGGGAUGGCAUAACAAUAAUUACUAUAAUUGUCAAUUAAUGCAAUUACUAUGCUGCCAAAUUUGCUUCAUGCCACUAAAAUUUCACAAGAUAUGCUGCCUGUCAAAUAUGGAGAUAGUGUUUUCUGAAGCAUGGUGGGUCGGAACAGGAUAUGCUGCCUGCCCAUUUGUCUUCUUCUGCUUUCAGUUCUCUAGGGUGCUGCCAUCGAUGAAGCAACUAGAAGCAGAGCUAGAAAGGGAAAUCACAGAACCUCGUUCCCCGAAGUUUGCAUAUGAUGAUGAUGCUUCUAAGGAUUUAGAUCAUAAGGACGAGAAUAACACACAAACUAUGAGUGGAACACCAGUUAGAUAGUCUGCUAGGAAUACAGGAAAAACCUUGAAAAAGUACACAGACUUAUCUUCCUGAGGGGAUUCAUGUGACAAUGAUAAUGGGAGGUAACUGAGGACUUGGAUGAUAAGGUACAUCUGAAUUUUACUUGUCUAUAUAUAGGUUCAAGGUUUGUAAUAUCAAAAUUUUGUCGCACUGCCGCUUAUUUUGCUUGCUAUGCAUGAAGAAGAUAGAGAGUCCAGAAAUUAAGGAUGAGAGUGAAAGCGAAGACGCUAAACCUGCAGAUUCUUCAACAGUGGCCCUUUCAAGCAAGAAGGGGCCUCUUGUUCAGGCUACUUUGCCUAGCAUGUUUAAAAAGGUAGAAGAAAAACAGGCUAAGCGGAUCAAAGGCCACCACACGUGGUUCCGAAGAUCGGUCUCCAUGUUCGGGAAGCCGAACAAUGCAUUGAGGAGUGCACUGGAUGCUGGUGAGGUUGCCAUCAAGGAGCAUCGCCUCAUUGUCAAGCCGGAGCUCAAGGAGGUCGUGCUUCAUGCAAACAAGUGUCUGGUAGUUUUGCUGCCCCUGUCUCACAUAUUGGAUGGACAUAAUAUUAGUAGGUUCUGGGUUUAGAUGGUCGUUUCUUUAAGUUCCUGGAAUGCUCAAAUGUUUAGCUCAAAAUUAUAUGGUUCAAAUUUACAGAUUUGUCUCCCAUUCAUUCUAUGGUUUGUACUUUGGAAGUGCUGCAGGUUGCAGCACCUAGAUACUGACAACAGUGGAAGAGUCUGAGAUGGCUUAUGCAAGCCCUGGGAUUGAUACGUCAAGAUGAGAAGAAUAAAUUGGUUCUUAAUGUUUUGAAUAUUUCUUUUGUAGAUGGUCAGUGCAUUACUAAUGUGGAUGUACCUUUUUUUAAAUAAAACUAGACAUGGCAUAACUUUGACACGAGAGUAUUGUGA